Molecule: long non-coding RNA, 264 nt
Organism: Cebus imitator (Panamanian white-faced capuchin)
Lineage: Eukaryota; Metazoa; Chordata; Mammalia; Primates; Cebidae
Exons: 4
Source: RefSeq, a predicted model, not a curated record
UCUCUCAGUAACUUGAAUGCAUUUUUUUUUUCAGAUUCAGACAUUCACACAGCUUGAAGAUGAUCUAAAAGAUGAAGAUGAGUCAUUGAGAGGCAGCAACAAAGUAAACAGAACAAAAGUUUCAGUCCCGGAUGGAAAUGGACCCUCAGUGGGGGAGAUUCCCCAGAGUGAACUCAUCUUGUAUUUAUCUGCUUGCAAAUUCCUGGACACGGCGCUUUCUUUUCCACCUGACAAGAUGCCAUUAUUUCAAAUUUACAGGUGGGG